GACGCGCGAGCCGCUCCGGGGCCGGGGGCGGCGCCACCUGAUUGGAGCAGGCGCGGGCAGAGCCGCAGCGCGGCCGCCGAUUGGCCGCGCGGGGUCAGGCGCUGUGGGCCGAGUGGACGCCCGUGACCCGAGGGCUCACUCCUCACACUUGCCAAAAGGUGGAGCCAACCCAGCUGUUCACCAGUAGAUGCACUGCUGCCCUGCCUGUGCUGUGCUCAUGAAUGGCCAACUGGCAACCACGAGGAGUGAAGUGCUACCUGAAUGAAAUGGGCUCGUGACCACCCCAAGCAGGCUGUGGUGUCUCCCGGCACUUGGGAGGCAGAGACAAGUGGAUCUCUGUGAGUUUGAGGCCAGCCUGGUCUACAGAGCAAGUUCCAGGACACCGAAGACUACACAAAAGAAAAGAAAAUGUUUUAGGGAAAAUGCCGGCUACACAAUAUUGCGAAUGUACCAGAUGCAUUGGAUUGCACACUUUGGGCUGCUUUUACAUUUGAUGUUGUGAAAUUCUACUUUGCUGAGCAUGGAAAUAUGUGGAAUAAACAAAGCUACCUUUCACAGUCA
This is a long non-coding RNA of Meriones unguiculatus (Mongolian gerbil), 561 nucleotides long. RefSeq lists it as uncharacterized. The transcript is spliced from 3 exons. Lineage: Eukaryota; Metazoa; Chordata; Mammalia; Rodentia; Muridae. The record is from RefSeq and is a predicted model, not a curated record.